This 291-nucleotide long non-coding RNA is filed under the name Elaeis guineensis (African oil palm). RNAcentral's name for it is "long non-coding RNA (EGUI_LNC036916)". The record is from RNAcentral. Lineage: Eukaryota; Viridiplantae; Streptophyta; Magnoliopsida; Arecales; Arecaceae.
CCUCUCAAAAUUCUUCUCUACCCAACAUUUUAAGCUUACUACCUUUACCUCUCCUACCACCCCACCAUUCAACAAUUUACUUCCUAAUUGAAAUUAGGUAAGUACAAAGAGGGUUAAGGGCUUACCUCCGCUAUUGAAGAAGUAAAUCAUGGCAGUAGCCACACCCAAAGCAAAGAAAGAAGAAGAGGAGAAGGAAGAAAAAGAAGAAGAAGAAGAAAAAGAAAGAGAGAGAGAGGAAGAGAGAGGCUAUGGUGGGGAAGCAUGGGGAAGGGGAGAACACAGGAGAGAUAG